AUGGGGGAGGUGUCACUAAUACUAUAUAAAGCAUUAUUGGGAGUCUCAUCUCAUCAUAUUUUCUCUCAUCACCUGUACAGCAGCUCUCCUUCCAGUCACCCAGCAGGUAAGAUCACCAACUUUAACUCACCAUUAGAUGGUUUAUACUGUAGACCUUUAAAUAUUACAAGUAAAAAUGUUGCAGAUUCAGUUGCAGUUUGUCCUUUUUCAUUUUGUAUUAGAACAGCGAUGGCAGCAGCAGCUUGGUCCAGGAGCAGAGGAGUGGCUGGUGUCAGAGCCACCACAGGCCUGUUCUCCAUCUUCACUCUGCUGUGUCUGGUUUGCCUCUCAAGUUCACUGAUUCACAAAGACCAGCUGAAAGAGGUCAAGGAAAAAUUUCAGAAAACACAAAAACUACUGGAGGAGUUGAAGGUGAGUCAGUCACACAGUUCAUGUUGCUCACGUAAAUUACUUCAGAGUAAGUUUGGAGUGUUGAAAUACUGUGUGACUUUAUAUACAGCAGUGCAUACAUGGUAUAUGUUUAUUCAUUUUUUCCAUUAGGCAAUCUACCAGCCAGAAAUGGGCAACGUUAAAGAUCUCAUGGGGCUAUCUGUGAGUCUUAUGGAGUCCAUGGAAACAUUACUGAAGGCAGAUGAAGAAGACUUUCCUGAUGACCCUCUACAUGUGCUGGGAUUUGUGCAGAACGUCAAGGACUUCAUAAAGAGCACCAAGAAUAAAGUAGAUAAAAAGGAUGAGGAGAUGAGAGCAGAAAUAGAGAAAACUGAAAAGAAACUGGAAAGAAUUAGGAAAUUAAUCACAUUCCUUGAGGAGCAACAAUUUGAACUGUAAAUCCCAUGUCAGCCAGUGCUUCUACCUCUGAUACUGCAGCUUUUGCAACUUAUCCUUCGGCUUCAUUUGAGUAUUUUCUCUGAACUGGAUUUGAAAUCAUGUUUGACAUAAAGUAGGAGGUUAGAGAGAGACGCACUAUUGACAGGGAUGUGAGAGGUGUUGUACUACUUUUAUUGAACACAUUUACAAAUGUACUGAUGUGCAGCCAUUACAGUUAUGGUACUGGCAACAAUGCUAAUGCAGGAAUACAUAAAAUAAACACAUUUUACUCCUUUUAUUUCUAGUGCAAUAUAUUGCGGUGGAUUACUAAAGAUAAUCAUGUUUCUGUUUGCUUCUGCUGGUUUUUUCAUGGUUUUCUUGGAAUAACAGAAUCUACAAUACAAACUAUAAUCUUCGACAUUUCUUACUUUACUGAUUUUACUUUAUUGAAAUCAGAGCUAUUGAAAACAUAUGCUGUAAAACUAUGUUGCAUGAAAUUCAGCAUGUGUGGAAAACCCAAAUAAAUGUCCUACAUGGGAACUGUUGCUGUCUGUCGUUUCUUUCU
RNAcentral lists this long non-coding RNA (1372 nucleotides) under Sparus aurata (gilthead seabream). Its description in RNAcentral is "lncRNA (ENSSAUG00010012354.1)". Lineage: Eukaryota; Metazoa; Chordata; Actinopteri; Spariformes; Sparidae. The record is from RNAcentral.